This 238-nucleotide ribosomal RNA is filed under the name Clostridioides difficile. Its description in RNAcentral is "partial 16S ribosomal RNA". It matches the Rfam family "Bacterial small subunit ribosomal RNA", at positions 488 to 727 of the family's 1533-position model. Lineage: Bacteria; Bacillati; Bacillota; Clostridia; Peptostreptococcales; Peptostreptococcaceae. The record is from RNAcentral.
AGCCCCGGCUAACUACGUGCCAGCAGCCGCGGUAAUACGUAGGGGGCUAGCGUUAUCCGGAUUUACUGGGCGUAAAGGGUGCGUAGGCGGUCUUUCAAGUCAGGAGUGAAAGGCUACGGCUCAACCGGAGUAAGCUCUUGAAACUGGGAGACUUGAGUGCAGGAGAGGAGAGUGGAAUUCCUAGUGUAGCGGUGAAAUGCGUAGAUAUUAGGAGGAACACCAGUUGCGAAGGCGGCUC